AUGAAAGCAAGACUGAAGAGGCAUAUUGCUGUUGUCACUAGUGCUCGUGCUGAACCUCAGGAAAACUAUGAUAUGUUCACUACACCUAAAACAUCAAUUCGGGAGUCUAUUGCAUCAAAUGCCACAUAUUUUGCAAUGGUCCGCGGGCAAGGAUAUGAUGGGGCUAGUAACAUGAAAGGCUAUUCUUGUAAAAAGAUGAGAAUUCUUCAAAUAUCUCAAGCUGAGGAACUUAUUGCUGCAUUAGACUUGAAGGAAGUAGAAACCAAGAGAUGUUUGAAUCAAGAAAUGGGUCUUGGAAGGCCAUGUGCUACUCAUUGGGGAUCUCACUACAUGACUAUCGACCAUGUUAUAUCUAUGUAUCCUGCAAUAAGAAUGUAG
RNAcentral lists this ribosomal RNA (378 nucleotides) under Triticum aestivum (bread wheat). RNAcentral's name for it is "partial small subunit ribosomal RNA". The record is from RNAcentral. Lineage: Eukaryota; Viridiplantae; Streptophyta; Magnoliopsida; Poales; Poaceae.